Molecule: ribosomal RNA, 383 nt
Filed under: uncultured eukaryote
Lineage: Eukaryota
Description: partial 18S ribosomal RNA
Rfam family: Eukaryotic small subunit ribosomal RNA
Source: RNAcentral
CAAUAGCGUAUAUUAAAGUUGUUGCAGUUAAAAAGCUCGUAGUUGGAUUUCUGGUGGGAGCGAUCGGUCUGGCGCUUAGCGCGAGUACUUGCAUCGUCUCCGGCCAUCCUUGGGGAGAGUCUGUCUGGCAUUAGGUUGUCGGGCAGAGGAUCCUCAUCGUUUACUGUGAAAAAAUUAGAGUGUUCAAAGCAGGCUUAUGCCGUUGAAUAUAUUAGCAUGGAAUAAUAAGGUAGGACUUUGGUACUAUUUUGUUGGUUUGCGCACCAAAGUAAUGAUUAAUAGGGACAGUUGGGGGUAUUCGUAUUCCGUUGUCAGAGGUGAAAUUCUUGGAUUUACGGAAGACGAACUACUGCGAAAGCAUUUACCAAGGAUGUUUUCAUUAA